AGAGUUUGAUCAUGGCUCAGAUUGAACGCUGGCGGCAUGCUUUACACAUGCAAGUCGAACGGCAGCACGGGGGCAACCCUGGUGGCGAGUGGCGAACGGGUGAGUAAUGCAUCGGAACGUAUCUUCGAGUGGGGGAUAACGCACCGAAAGGUGUGCUAAUACCGCAUAAUCUCUAUGGAGAAAAGCAGGGGAUCGCAAGACCUUGCGCUCUUGGAGCGGCCGAUGUCUGAUUAGCUAGUUGGUGAGGUAAAGGCUUACCAAGGCGACGAUCAGUAGCUGGUCUGAGAGGACGACCAGCCACACUGGGACUGAGACACGGCCCAGACUCCUACGGGAGGCAGCAGUGGGGAAUUUUGGACAAUGGGGGAAACCCUGAUCCAGCCAUGCCGCGUGAGUGAAGAAGGCCUUCGGGUUGUAAAGCUCUUUCAGCCGGAACGAAACGGUCACGGCUAAUACCUGUGAUCACUGACGGUACCGGAAGAAGAAGCACCGGCUAACUACGUGCCAGCAGCCGCGGUAAUACGUAGGGUGCAAGCGUUAAUCGGAAUUACUGGGCGUAAAGCGUGCGCAGGCGGUUUUGUAAGUCAGAUGUGAAAUCCCCGGGCUUAACCUGGGAACUGCGUUUGAAACUACAAGGCUAGAGUGUGGCAGAGGGGGGUGGAAUUCCACGUAGCAGUGAAAUGCGUAGAGAUGUGGAGGAACACCGAUGGCGAAGGCAGCCCCCUGGGUUAACACUGACGCUCAGGCACGAAAGCGUGGGGAGCAAACAGGAUUAGAUACCCCCGUAGUCC
This 791-nucleotide ribosomal RNA is filed under the name uncultured bacterium. Its description in RNAcentral is "bacterial SSU rRNA". It matches the Rfam family "Bacterial small subunit ribosomal RNA", at positions 8 to 796 of the family's 1533-position model. The record is from RNAcentral.